RNAcentral lists this long non-coding RNA (2592 nucleotides) under Homo sapiens (human). RNAcentral's name for it is "non-protein coding lnc-TOMM7-6:1". The record is from RNAcentral. Lineage: Eukaryota; Metazoa; Chordata; Mammalia; Primates; Hominidae.
UUACGAAAGGGGGAUGAUCUGGUGGCCUGACUGAAUAACAUAAGCCCUUUAAAAUCAGAGAGUUUUCUCCAGCUGGUGGCUGACAAGAAAGGCAGAAAUUUGACACAGGAGAAUUUGACAUAUUUUUAUUGGCUUAAGAAGAGAAAGGGCCACGUGGUAAGGAAUGUAGAUGACCUCUAAGGGCUGAAAAGGAUUCCAGUUUACAAUUGUUAGCAAGCUUUACCACAUUCUGUGUGGCGAAACAAGGGAAUUUCUGGAAGAACCAGUCAAGGAGAACAGGAGGCUUGACCAGUAGCACCCUGCGCACUUGGGCUGGGGAGCAGCUUCUGUGGACUCCACACAGAGCUGAGCCUGGGACACCAGGAUCGGGUCACCUAGAGGCCUGUGUGACUUCAGCCGCAGGAGGGAUGAACAUGUGAUGGCAGGAGCAGCAGAGAUGUGUUGCCCUUGAUUCCCGCACUCUGGGGCAGCCUGACUCAGCGACAGUAUGCAGGUGGGUGAGCGCCUCCUUCCUUACUCAAAGCCUCAGGCACCUGCCAUUCUGUUCUCCCCUAAUAGCCCUGGGUCCUGUCUGAGCCAGGGGUGAUAGUAUUUGGCCUCAAUGAGUGUUCAAUGACUGCCAGAAAGAAGAGCUCAGUUCUCCACCAGCCUGCCCCCAUGGAUCCCCAGCAGGCCACCUCACCAGGCAGUGGGACGCAGACUAAUUGUGUUUGUCUCCCACUCAGACAACUGUUCAGGCCCAUUUUGAAAUCAUGCAUUACAUAUUUCUAGAGACAUUUGUAAGUGCAGCAAAUACAUUUAAAUGUUUUGUUGUUGGCUGGUUAAGAAAGAGAAAAAAAAUUAAAAAUGAGCAUAGGGACCAGGAUCUCCACCAAGCUCUUUACUGGAGUUGGUCUUCACCUUGAAACCUUCAUUGCAGAGGCACUGGUAUCCGACAGUGACCUUCAUCCCCUUACCUUGGGCCUUUUCUACUGCAAAUGUGGUCCCUUGUACCCAUCAGUUCUUCUCCAACUCUUUUCCUUCCUCAAAGAACUAACUUUUGGCUUUGUUUGCUUUCCCUGUAAUAUGUUUUUUAAUCUAUUAAUUCUGCUCAUUAAUAUUUUUUCUUCUGUUUUCCUUGGAUUAAAUUUGUCUGAAUUAGGCUUAUUGAUUUUCAGUCUUUCUUUUUUCUCUCAUCUUAAAUAUUCAUUUGGAUCCUUGAGUUAUUUAGAAGUAUGUUGCAUAAUUUCCAAAUAUUUCGGAGAUUUUCUAAUUAUCGUUCUCUGAUUUAUUUAUAUUUUAAUUCUAUUGUAGUCAGAGAACAUAUUACAUAUAAUUUGAAUCCUUUGAAAAAAAAGUUAAGACUUCCUCUUAGGCUAACAUACAGUGUAUUUGGCAAUGUCUGCUAUUAGCACAAUGUUACAGCUUCAAAAUCUGGAAGAUGUCCUAAACAGGGUGGCUGGCUGUGUGUUUGAAUGGCAAGACUUCUUCCUUUAAUUAGACUUUUUCCCCUUAGCACCAUGAAACUAGAGGAGAUUUUAUUAUGACUUUUUGAAGUCUUUAAACAAAUGUCCCAGCCUUCUUUGCAUAGCCCCUGAACCCAGAAGAUGUCCCGGGGGAAAACCAGCUAUGUGUUUAGCACUUACCAAAUUUCUGGUUUCUCCCACCAGCCCCACGUGACUGCCAAAAACCUCUCUGGUUUCUCUUUCCCCAAGUAGAUUCCUUCUUUAUAAGUCAAGUCAAAUUCUUAGUCCAUGCCCAGAAUUGUAAAAUGUCCCCAGGGAAGAAAACAAUUGGUGAUUUAUGUAGCCUUCAUUGCUUCCUCAUUUUCUGAGAUUCUUAAAAAUGUGACUUUCUUAAUUUAUCUGGUUCUUUAUAAUUGUUGCAAUGGGAAUUCUAGUCUGCUACGAUCUUACUACGUUUUAUUCAGGAACAGAAGUCCCCUGAUCUUUAUGUUUUAAGAGUAAAAGCCCACUAAUAUGGGUACGACUUCAAAGAUUGAAAAGGGCUAUGGCCUGCUUUCAGUACUUGGAUUCCUGGAGGAGUGAAGUUACAUUGGUGGUCCAGACUUGGGCCCUUAAUUGCAGAGGCUCUGAGAAAAUAAGUCAUAUGGCUUCAGGAGAUAUUGCUAGACUUGAUGCAGGGAGGAAAGCUGUCAAAAUGAAUGGGAGGUUUUGAAUGAACCAUGUACCCUUGCAGUAACAAUUAUAGUUAGCAGCAAUCAAAACUGAUAAAAUGACUGAGUCUCUCCAUUUUCCUAGAUAUAAAUUCAAAUAUGAUUGAAAGAUAAGAAAGGUGUCCUUCCAUCUUUUUAUGGGUGGUGUUUAAAUUAAAUUAAAUUUGAUUCUGAAAACUGAAUAAAUUUUUACUCUGUGUUUCAGAAUACUUGUUGUACUGUUAUUCUUACAGGUGUGACCAGGCAACUGAGUAUAAAAUUGAUUCAGAGAUAUGGUACUUUGAAUAUGAAGCUUUAUGAGUACCUUAAGUUUAUUUUGCUUAUUUUGUCUUUUUUCUCCUAUAUACACACACACAUGCACAUGUGUGUAUAUACAUAUAAAUGUAUAUAUUAAAUAUGUAUGUGUGUGUAUAUAUAUUUUGCUCUACUUUCUAUUU